Molecule: ribosomal RNA, 274 nt
Filed under: uncultured bacterium
Lineage: Bacteria
Description: partial 16S ribosomal RNA
Rfam family: Bacterial small subunit ribosomal RNA
Source: RNAcentral
AUACGGAGGGUGCAAGCGUUAAUCGGAAUUACUGGGCGUAAAGAGUACGUAGGUGGUUUGUUAAGUCAGAUGUGAAAGCCCCGGGCUCAACCUGGGAACUGCAUUUGAAACUGGCAAACUAGAGUAUGGUAGAGGGGGGUAGAGUUUCUAGUGUAGCGGUGAAAUGCGUAGAUAUUAGAAGGAAUACCAGUGGCGAAGGCGGCCCCCUGGACCAAUACUGACACUGAGGUACGAAAGCGUGGGUAGCGAACAGGAUUAGAAACCCUAGUAGUCC